GUCUACGGCCAUACCACCCUGAACACGCCCGAUCUCGUCUGAUCUCGGAAAAGAAACAGCCCGGCGACAUUAUUUUACACACACAGUGGCAACAGAAAUGAGUCACAGGUC
This 111-nucleotide ribosomal RNA is filed under the name Myotis lucifugus (little brown bat). The record is from RNAcentral. Lineage: Eukaryota; Metazoa; Chordata; Mammalia; Chiroptera; Vespertilionidae.